This 433-nucleotide ribosomal RNA is filed under the name uncultured bacterium. RNAcentral's name for it is "partial 16S ribosomal RNA". It matches the Rfam family "Bacterial small subunit ribosomal RNA", at positions 29 to 507 of the family's 1533-position model. The record is from RNAcentral.
AACGAACGCUGGCGGCAUGCCUAACACAUGCAAGUCGAACGAGACCUUCGGGUCUAGUGGCGCACGGGUGCGUAACGCGUGGGAACCUGCCCUUAGGUUCGGAAUAACUCCCCGAAAGGGGUGCUAAUACCGGAUAAUGUCUUCGGACCAAAGAUUUAUCGCCUUUGGAUGGGCCCGCGUUGGAUUAGCUAGUUGGUAGGGUAAAAACCUACCAAGGCGACGAUCCAUAGCUGGUCUGAGAGGAUGAUCAGCCACACUGGGACUGAGACACGGCCCAGACUCCUACGGGAGGCAGCAGUAGGGAAUAUUGGACAAUGGGCGAAAGCCUGAUCCAGCAAUGCCGCGUGAGUGAUGAAGGCCUUAGGGUUGUAAAGCUCUUUUACCCGGGAUGAUAAUGACAGUACCGGGAGAAUAAGCUCCGGCUAACUCCGUG